AUACGUAGGGUGCAAGCGUUAAUCGGAAUUACUGGGCGUAAAGCGUGCGCAGGCGGUUUUGUAAGACAGUGGUGAAAUCCCCGGGCUCAACCUGGGAACUGCCAUUGUGACUGCAAGGCUGGAGUGCGGCAGAGGGGGAUGGAAUUCCGCGUGUAGCAGUGAAAUGCGUAGAUAUGCGGAGGAACACCGAUGGCGAAGGCAAUCCCCUGGGCAUGCACUGACGCUCAUGCACGAAAGCGUGGGGAGCAAACAGGAUUAGAUACCCUGGUAGUCCACGCCCUAAACGAUGUCAACUGGUUGUUGGGUCUUCAUUGACUCAGUAACGAAGCUAACGCGUGAAGUUGACCGCCUGGGGAGUACGGCCGCAAGGUUGAAACUCAAAUGAAUUGACGGGG
RNAcentral lists this ribosomal RNA (395 nucleotides) under uncultured bacterium. RNAcentral's name for it is "partial 16S ribosomal RNA". It matches the Rfam family "Bacterial small subunit ribosomal RNA", at positions 523 to 918 of the family's 1533-position model. The record is from RNAcentral.